RNAcentral lists this transfer RNA (67 nucleotides) under Marmota monax (woodchuck). Its description in RNAcentral is "tRNA.Ala". The record is from RNAcentral. Lineage: Eukaryota; Metazoa; Chordata; Mammalia; Rodentia; Sciuridae.
GGUUGUGGCUCAGUGGUAGAGCUUUUGCCUAGCAUGUGUGAGGCACUGGGUUCAAUCCUCAGCACCA